CGCAGGGCUGUCCUGACAUUUUUAAGAGCCGCCAGUGGGCAGCACGGCUAUUUUUGUUAUUUAUAGAGAGCUGCGUGUGUGCUGGGUGAUCGACCCGCUGGUGAGGAAGGCUGGAUUCCUGUCACAGCCCGCUCCCGUGCACAGGAUGAGUGCGGCUGUGUUGCUGGCACAGAUAACACCGAGUAGCCCGGUGCGGGCACGUGGCCAAGACACCCUGGUCCCAGAGCUCUUCGUGUUCCAUAAAGCCAAUGUGGAGACAUUGUGAUGGAACAGCUCCCAGGAACACGACGCUGUGAGCACAGGUGUCCCCAGGGCACUUUGUUCUAUGGAGCGGGUGGGAGUGGGAGGUUGGGACGAGUGGGUAGCACCGCAGGUUUCGUGGCGGUGAAGUUUGAAGCGGGAGCAGAGCUCCUGAAGGAGCUGCUUCAGCGGCCUGGGACUGCUGGGAAGGUCCUCUGUACUGGCAGAGGAAAACAGGAAAGGGGAGAAGAGCCCCGCUAAGGACUGACAUGUGGAACUGUGCAGCCUUUGCCAUCUGGAAAAAUAAAAAUGGAUGACGAAGAUGGUUAUAGGAAUAUCUUGAACCUCAAGCAUUCCCCGUUUCUACUGUGCUGAUCAGAAUCUGCAGAGUUCAUAGGAGAGAAAGGAAGAAUGCUGUCCCAAGUAUCCCUUGGUGCAUGAACAUAAGAUGCAUGGCCAGCUCUUUCACCCAGGUUUUGUGCAAAGAUUAAUUCUGACAGUGGAGAAGUAAAGAAAGGAUUAUUAGUCAAUCUCAGGGAAGUCUGGAAUUAUUAAAGCAGAGCAGCCACUAACCUGCAGGUCCCUGAAUCUUCUGGAGUAUGAUAUGAUGAUUGAUAACCUGACCUACACUUCUUGGAUCACUUGGCAGGAAAGGGACAGGACCAGAAGCCACAACCGUGGUGAGUGAUGAGGCAUGCAGAAAGCACAACAGAAGCUGCUGCCAAGGGAUUUGCAGAUGUGGGACUGUAAGGAUUUUGGCCUAAGUAUGAGGUUUUCUACUUUUCAGUAAACCUGCUACGGAGGGUAUUUCAAAUGAAGAGAUGCCCAGAAGACUCAACAUUCUGAACAAAGUUGUAAACAGUGCUUUCACUGAAUAUUUCAGACCAAAUUCUCAGUUCUGUAGCCCAAAACAACUUAAACUUCAGUAAGCUGUUUUGCAUUUGCCAUAACAUCUGAUCUAAAAGGCUUAAUAAAAGUGAAUAUUUGGAUCUUCUGAUUGUAUCUUAACACUGUGAUGUGAAAUAAAGUAAAAAAGAACUGAU
Long non-coding RNA from Numida meleagris (helmeted guineafowl), 1283 nucleotides. RefSeq lists it as uncharacterized. NCBI's taxonomy places the organism in Eukaryota, Metazoa, Chordata, Aves, Galliformes, Numididae. The transcript is spliced from 5 exons. The record is from RefSeq and is a predicted model, not a curated record.